GCCGGAGUGGUGGAAUUGGUAGACACAGGGGAUUCAAAAUCCCCCGCAGGCAACUGCUUGCCGGUUCAAGUCCGGCCUUCGGUACCA
RNAcentral lists this transfer RNA (87 nucleotides) under Halieaceae bacterium. Its description in RNAcentral is "tRNA-Leu". It matches the Rfam family "tRNA". From Rfam's summary of the family: Transfer RNA (tRNA) molecules are approximately 80 nucleotides in length. Their secondary structure includes four short double-helical elements and three loops (D, anti-codon, and T loops). Lineage: Bacteria; Pseudomonadati; Pseudomonadota; Gammaproteobacteria; Cellvibrionales; Halieaceae. The record is from RNAcentral. RNAcentral also lists the same sequence under 1 other name.